UGGGGAAUUUUGGACAAUGGGCGAAAGCCUGAUCCAGCAAUGCCGCGUGUGUGAAGAAGGCCUUCGGGUUGUAAAGCACUUUUGUCCGGAAAGAAAUCCUUGGCUCUAAUACAGUCGGGGGAUGACGGUACCGGAAGAAUAAGCACCGGCUAACUACGUGCCAGCAGCCGCGGUAAUACGUAGGGUGCAAGCGUUAAUCGGAAUUACUGGGCGUAAAGCGUGCGCAGGCGGUUUGCUAAGACCGAUGUGAAAUCCCGGGCUCAACCUGGGAACUGCAUUGGUGACUGGCAGGCUAGAGUAUGGCAGAGGGGGGUAGAAUUCCACGUGUAGCAGUGAAAUGCGUAGAGAUGUGGAGGAAUACCGAUGGCGAAGGCAGCCCCCUGGGCCAAUACUGACGCUCAUGCACGAAAGCGUGGGGAGCAAACAGGAUUAGAUACCCUGGUAGUCCACGCCCUAAAACGAUGUCAACUAGUUGUUGGGGGAUUCAUUUCCUUAGUAACGUAGCUAACGCGUGAAGUUGACCGCCUGGGGAGUACGGUCGCAAGAUUAAAACUCAAAUGAAUUGACGGGGUCAUAGCUGUUUCCU
Molecule: ribosomal RNA, 586 nt
Filed under: uncultured bacterium
Lineage: Bacteria
Description: partial 16S ribosomal RNA
Rfam family: Bacterial small subunit ribosomal RNA
Source: RNAcentral